GAUCAUGGCUCGAGGACGAACGCUGGCGGCGUGCCUAACACAUGCAAGUCGAACGGAGUUGCCCUUCGGGACAACUUAGUGGCGGACGGGUGAGUAACGCGUGAGGAACCUGCCUUUCAGAGGGGGACAACAGUUGGAAACGACUGCUAAUACCGCAUAAUGCAUAGGGGUCGCAUGAUUCUUAUGCCAAAGAUUUAUCGCUGAAAGAUGGCCUCGCGUCUGAUUAGCUAGUUGGUGAGGUAACGGCCCACCAAGGCGACGAUCAGUAGCCGGACUGAGAGGUUGAUCGGCCACAUUGGGACUGAGACACGGCCCAGACUCCUACGGGAGGCAGCAGUGGGGGAUAUUGCACAAUGGGGGAAACCCUGAUGCAGCAACGCCGCGUGAAGGAAGAAGGUCUUCGGAUUGUAAACUUUUGUCGCAAAGGAAGAUAAUGACGGUACUUUGUGAGAAAGCCACGGCUAACUACGUG
RNAcentral lists this ribosomal RNA (472 nucleotides) under uncultured bacterium. RNAcentral describes it as "bacterial SSU rRNA". It matches the Rfam family "Bacterial small subunit ribosomal RNA", at positions 15 to 507 of the family's 1533-position model. The record is from RNAcentral.